Dioscorea cayenensis subsp. rotundata (Guinea yam) is the source of this 328-nucleotide long non-coding RNA. RefSeq lists it as uncharacterized. The record is from RefSeq and is a predicted model, not a curated record. The transcript is spliced from 3 exons. NCBI's taxonomy places the organism in Eukaryota, Viridiplantae, Streptophyta, Magnoliopsida, Dioscoreales, Dioscoreaceae.
GAAGCCUCACUUCGUUCUUGCUCUCUACUCUCAAGCUUCGCUUCUUUUUCUCCGGCAUCAAGGCUCUUCGUCCCUUUUCGUUCUCCAUGAACCCUAGUCCCUUCCGAGGUAUCGAGGCUGAAAUGAUCUUCAUGGCCUCACGGAUUCCUUCUUCUCCGAAAAUCAGGGUUUGAUCAAGAGUGGGAAGGAGACAUGAAGCGGAGGAAAAUCUUUGUCGAUGCUCUUGCUAAGCUUCUGCAUCGCGAGUUUGGUUUUGAUCCAAGGGAUUUACAGUUUCGCAUCAGAUAUAAUGAGGUGGUACCAGCAUGAUUGAAGCAGAGCAUAUUUU